Molecule: unclassified non-coding RNA, 457 nt
Filed under: Hygrophorus sp. 3 CG-2012
Lineage: Eukaryota; Fungi; Basidiomycota; Agaricomycetes; Agaricales; Hygrophoraceae
Description: sequence contains ITS1, 5.8S rRNA gene, ITS2
Rfam family: 5.8S ribosomal RNA (bases 120-273)
Source: RNAcentral
UAUUGAAUUUGGGUUUCCAUAUUCUUACACCCUGUGCACCUUUUGUAGGCCAUUCAUUUGGUCUAUGUUUUAUUUCUAACAACUUUGUAAAUGUGAAUGGUAAUGAAUAAAAUUAUUACAACUUUCAACAACGGAUCUCUUGGCUCUCGCAUCGAUGAAGAACGCAGCGAAAUGCGAUAAGUAAUGUGAAUUGCAGAAUUCAGUGAAUCAUCAAAUCUUUGAACGCACCUUGCGCUCCUUGGUAUUCCGAGGAGCAUGCCUGUUUGAGUGUCAUUAAAUUCUCAAGGAGUUUGUUUUCUUUGGAUUUUGGAGUGUUUGCUGGCUUGAAUCUUGUUCAGCUCCUCUCAAAUGCAUUAGCUUGUGCUUCUGUGGAAUCAGGCUUUGGUUUGAUAGUAUCUAUGUCAUUGCCUUUGAAACAAAUGAGCUAGCUUCUAAUCAUUUUAUUUUUGACAUUUUG